Molecule: ribosomal RNA, 254 nt
Filed under: Escherichia coli
Lineage: Bacteria; Pseudomonadati; Pseudomonadota; Gammaproteobacteria; Enterobacterales; Enterobacteriaceae
Description: partial 23S ribosomal RNA
Rfam family: Bacterial large subunit ribosomal RNA
Source: RNAcentral
GAGAUUCCCCCAGUAGCGGCGAGCGAACGGGGAGGAGCCCAGAGUCUGAAUCAGUGUGUGUGUUAGUGGAAGCGUCUGGAAAGGCGCGCGAUACAGGGUGACAGCCCCGUACACAAAAAUGCACAUACUGUGAGCUCGAUGAGUAGGGCGGGACACGUGGUAUCCUGUCUGAAUAUGGGGGGACCAUCCUCCAAGGCUAAAUACUCCUGACUGACCGAUAGUGAACCAGUACCGUGAGGGAAAGGCGAAAAGAA